UGGGGAAUUUUGGACAAUGGGCGAAAGCCUGAUCCAGCAAUGCCGCGUGUGUGAAGAAGGCCUUCGGGUUGUAAAGCACUUUUGUCCGGAAAGAAAUCCUUGGCUCUAAUACAGUCGGGGGAUGACGGUACCGGAAGAAUAAGCACCGGCUAACUACGUGCCAGCAGCCGCGGUAAUACGUAGGGUGCAAGCGUUAAUCGGAAUUACUGGGCGUAAAGCGUGCGCAGGCGGUUUGCUAAGACCGAUGUGAAAUCCCCGGGCUCAACCUGGGAACUGCAUUGGUGACUGGCAGGCUAGAGUAUGGCAGAGGGGGGUAGAAUUCCACGUGUAGCAGUGAAAUGCGUAGAGAUGUGGAGGAAUACCGAUGGCGAAGGCAGCCCCCUGGGCCAAUACUGACGCUCAUGCACGAAAGCGUGGGGAGCAAACAGGAUUAGAUACCCUGGUAGUCCACGCCCUAAACG
This 461-nucleotide ribosomal RNA is filed under the name uncultured bacterium. RNAcentral's name for it is "partial 16S ribosomal RNA". It matches the Rfam family "Bacterial small subunit ribosomal RNA", at positions 355 to 808 of the family's 1533-position model. The record is from RNAcentral.